GGGUUUUGCGAGCGAUGGCUAUGGCGCACCUCGCCAAGAAAGUGCCAUUCCUCUGCCGGCGGUCAAGAAGGGCAUUUUUCACACAAAUUUUCCAAAGGACGCAGGGUAUCACUUCCGGAUUUGCGCUCUUCCAGGUCUGUUUCUAGAGUUCAUCUAUCAAGAUCAACCAUGGUGUGAGUUCUUGCGCGACGCUUCGAUCGCUUCUUUCUAGAAUUUUAUUUUUUCUUCUCAGACAUUUUCGCGGCUUUUCAGGUGUUUUCGAGUUCGAUCGGACAAUUUCUUGGAGGAAGUUGCUCUUCAUGCAAGUUCUUCGAGGAGCAUUUGGAGCGAUCUUUCUCUAGAACUGUGCAGCGGUCGUGAAGGUUUGUCCGAAUUUCCAAUUUUGCGGCACUGCGUCGAGAGCUAUCCUACUCUCGCCAUCGCUGGUACUCACAACGAAAGACAGGCCUUGCUCUAGCAUCGACCGGUUGGAAAUAUGCCAGUUCUGGCCCCAAGCGCGAGUCGCCGGCGUCCACGGAGAUCGUGAUCCUUUGACAACCACGCUCCGGAC
RNAcentral lists this long non-coding RNA (550 nucleotides) under Selaginella moellendorffii. RNAcentral describes it as "long non-coding RNA (SMOE_LNC000612)". The record is from RNAcentral. Lineage: Eukaryota; Viridiplantae; Streptophyta; Lycopodiopsida; Selaginellales; Selaginellaceae.